CCUACGGGAGGCUGCAGUCGAGAAUCAUUCACAAUGGGGGAAACCCUGAUGGUGCGACGCCGCGUGGGGGAAUGAAGGUCUUCGGAUUGUAAACCCCUGUCAUGUGGGAGCAAAUGACAAAGAUAGUACCACAAGAGGAAGAGACGGCUAACCCUGUGCCAGCAGCCGCGGGAAUACGGAGGUCGCAAUCGUGGUUCGGAAUCACUGGGCGUAACGUGUGCGUAGGCUGUUUCGUAAGUCGUGAGUGAAAGGCGCGGGCUCAACCCGCGGACGGCACAUGAUACUGCGAGACUGGAGUAGGGGAGGGGGAAGCGGAAUUCUCGGUGUAGCAGUGAAAUGCGUAGAUAUCGAGAGGAACACUCGUGGCGAAGGCGGGUUCCUGGACAUUAACUGACGCUGAGGCACGAAGGCCAGGGGAGCGAAAGGGAUUAGAUACCCUUGUAGUC
RNAcentral lists this ribosomal RNA (446 nucleotides) under uncultured bacterium. RNAcentral describes it as "partial 16S ribosomal RNA". It matches the Rfam family "Bacterial small subunit ribosomal RNA", at positions 338 to 795 of the family's 1533-position model. The record is from RNAcentral.